GGAAUUGACGGGGACCCGCACAAGCGGUGGAGCAUGUGGUUUACCUCGAACAUACGCUAAUAACCUCACCAGGACUUGACCUACCAAUGACCGCUCUCGUAUUGAAAGCUUUUCCUCGGGACAUUGGAUACAGGUGGUGCAUGGUCGUCGGCAGCUCGUGUCGUGAGAUGUUGGGUUAAGUCCCGCAACGAGCGCAACCCUUGUUAUUAGUUGCCAGCAUUUAGUUGGGCACUCUAAUGAGACUGCCGGUGAUAAACCGGAGGAAGGUGGGGACGACGUCAGAUCAUCAUGCCCCUUAUGACCUGGGCAACACACGUGCUACAAUGGGAAGUACAACGAGUCGCAAACCGGCGACGGUAAGCUAAUCUCUUAAAACUUCUCUCAGUUCGGACUGGAGUCUGCAACUCGACUCCACGAAGGCGGAAUCGCUAGUAAUCGCGAAUCAGCAUGUCGCGGUGAAUACGUUCCCGGGUCUUGUACACACCGCCCGUCAAAUCAUGGGAGUCGGAAGUACCCAAAGUCGCUUGGCUAACUUUUAGAGGCCGGUGCCUAAGGUAAAAUCGAUGACUGGGAUUAAGUCGUAACAAGGUAGCCGUAGGAGAACCUGCGGCUGGAUCACCUCCUUUCUAAGGA
This 633-nucleotide ribosomal RNA is filed under the name Oenococcus oeni. Its description in RNAcentral is "bacterial SSU rRNA". It matches the Rfam family "Bacterial small subunit ribosomal RNA", at positions 906 to 1533 of the family's 1533-position model. The record is from RNAcentral. Lineage: Bacteria; Bacillati; Bacillota; Bacilli; Lactobacillales; Lactobacillaceae.